Molecule: ribosomal RNA, 365 nt
Filed under: Streptomyces sp. P1(2010)
Lineage: Bacteria; Bacillati; Actinomycetota; Actinomycetes; Kitasatosporales; Streptomycetaceae
Description: bacterial SSU rRNA
Rfam family: Bacterial small subunit ribosomal RNA
Source: RNAcentral
UUGGGCGUAAAGAGCUCGUAGGCGGUCUGUCGCGUCGGAUGUGAAAGCCCGGGGCUUAACCCCGGGUCUGCAUUCGAUACGGGCAGACUAGAGUGUGGUAGGGGAGAUCGGAAUUCCUGGUGUAGCGGUGAAAUGCGCAGAUAUCAGGAGGAACACCGGUGGCGAAGGCGGAUCUCUGGGCCAUUACUGACGCUGAGGAGCGAAAGCGUGGGGAGCGAACAGGAUUAGAUACCCUGGUAGUCCACGCCGUAAACGGUGGGAACUAGGUGUUGGCGACAUUCCACGUCGUCGGUGCCGCAGCUAACGCAUUAAGUUCCCCGCCUGGGGAGUACGGCCGCAAGGCUAAAACUCAAAGAAAUUGACGG